This 467-nucleotide long non-coding RNA is filed under the name Monodelphis domestica (gray short-tailed opossum). RNAcentral describes it as "lncRNA (ENSMODG00000048342.1)". Lineage: Eukaryota; Metazoa; Chordata; Mammalia; Didelphimorphia; Didelphidae. The record is from RNAcentral.
CUACAAUUCUCUAGAGAUGAUGGUUUUCUAUGAUUCACAGGUAAAUCACAACACCAGGAGUUGAUCUGCAUGGAAAAGAUGGUGGUUUGUGUUAGGAAAGAGAUUGCAACCACAGAGCAAGAUGCCAAAAUAAUGAUCCUGAGAGUGAAACAUCUUGUGGAUGGUUCUUGUGGGAGCUCCUGGCCUGCUCAGUUAGGGCACUUACUCUUCAGAAGGGAAAGAUCCCCAAGUCUGAUUCAGAGAUUUUUGGAGAAGAUGACCAUAGAUAGUAGGAGAAGCCCAACUGCUAGCAUGACUUAUCAGAAAAUAUUUGUCUAGAGAGAGUAUCACUCUAUUUAGCACUGAAGUGAAGCUCACUUUCAGCCAUCUUGAAAACAGUUUCAUCUUUUGCUGCUAUAACUAUCAACCUUCUUAAUGUAGAUAAUGGUGAUAAUAAAUCACUGCUUCUUGUUGAGGUCUUUGUAAAU